UACGAAGGGGGCUAGCGUUGCUCGGAAUCACUGGGCGUAAAGCGCACGUAGGCGGACUCUUAAGUCAGGGGUGAAAUCCUGGAGCUCAACUCCAGAACUGCCUUUGAUACUGAGAGCCUUGAGUUCGGGAGAGGUGAGUGGAACUGCGAGUGUAGAGGUGAAAUUCGUAGAUAUUCGCAAGAACACCAGUGGCGAAGGCGGCUCACUGGCCCGAUACUGACGCUGAGGUGCGAAAGCGUGGGGAGCGAACAGG
RNAcentral lists this ribosomal RNA (253 nucleotides) under uncultured bacterium. Its description in RNAcentral is "partial 16S ribosomal RNA". It matches the Rfam family "Bacterial small subunit ribosomal RNA", at positions 524 to 776 of the family's 1533-position model. The record is from RNAcentral.